RNAcentral lists this ribosomal RNA (486 nucleotides) under uncultured bacterium. RNAcentral describes it as "bacterial SSU rRNA". It matches the Rfam family "Bacterial small subunit ribosomal RNA", at positions 29 to 507 of the family's 1533-position model. The record is from RNAcentral.
AUUGAACGCUGGCGGCAUGCCUAACACAUGCAAGUCGAGCGGCAGGCGCGGGGGCGAACCCUGGCGGCGAGCGGCGGACGGGUGAGUAAGGCAUCGGAAUCUGCCCUGAUGUGGGGGAUAACGUAGGGAAACUUACGCUAAUACCGCAUACGACCGAGAGGUGAAAGCGGGGGACCGAAAGGCCUCGCGCAGCAGGAUGAGCCGAUGUCCGAUUAGCUAGUUGGUGGGGUAAAGGCCUACCAAGGCGACGAUCGGUAGCUGGUCUGAGAGGAUGAUCAGCCACACUGGGACUGAGACACGGCCCAGACUCCUACGGGAGGCAGCAGUGGGGAAUAUUGGACAAUGGGGGCAACCCUGAUCCAGCAAUGCCGCGUGUGUGAAGAAGGCCUUCGGGUUGUAAAGCACUUUUAUCGGGAACGAAACACCGUGGGUUAAUACCCUGCGGGACUGACGGUACCCGAGGAAUAAGCACCGGCUAACUCCGUG